UUCACAAUGGCAAAGUGAAGUUCACCUCUC
This 30-nucleotide non-coding RNA is filed under the name Mus musculus (house mouse). Lineage: Eukaryota; Metazoa; Chordata; Mammalia; Rodentia; Muridae. The record is from RNAcentral.